AUUGAACGCUGGCGGCAGGCUUAACACAUGCAAGUCGAGCGGGGUGAUGUAGCUUGCUACAUUACCUAGCGGCGGACGGGUGAGUAAUGCUUAGGAAUCUGCCUAUUAGUGGGGGACAACAUUCCGGAAGGAAUGCUAAUACCGCAUACGCCCUACGGGGGAAAGCAGGGGAUCUUCGGACCUUGCGCGAAUAGAUGAGCCUAAGUCAGAUUAGCUAGUUGGUGGGGUAAAGGCCUACCAAGGCGACGAUCUGUAGCGGGUCUGAGAGGAUGAUCCGCCACACUGGGACUGAGACACGGCCCAGACUCCUACGGGAGGCAGCAGUGGGGAAUAUUGGUCAAUGGGCGGAAGCCUGAUCCAGCCAUGCCGCGUGUGUGAAGAAGGCCUUUUGGUUGUAAAGCACUUUAAGCGAGGAGGAGGCUACUUGGAUUAAUACUCUAGGAUAGUGGACGUUACUCGCAGAAUAAGCACCGGCUAACUCUGUGCCAGCCGCCGCAGUAA
RNAcentral lists this ribosomal RNA (501 nucleotides) under uncultured bacterium. RNAcentral describes it as "partial 16S ribosomal RNA". It matches the Rfam family "Bacterial small subunit ribosomal RNA", at positions 30 to 523 of the family's 1533-position model. The record is from RNAcentral.